AUUCCAGCUCCAAUAGCGUAUAUUAAAGUUGUUGCAGUUAAAAAGCUCGUAGUUGGAUUUCUGGCCGAGUGUCCCCAGGCCAGCAUGACGUUUGGUCCUGGGCGCUCUGCCAUCCUUCUGUCAACCUUCGCCUCGUUCAUUCGUGGCGCUGGGGCUCAGAUAUUUUACCUUGAGAAAAUUAGAGUGUUUCAGGCAGGCUUUCGCCGGAAUACAUUAGCAUGGAAUAAUGGAAAAGGACUUCAACCUCUUCUGUUGGUCUGAGAGGCUGUAGUAACGAUUAAUAGGGAUAGUUGGGGGCAUUCAUAUUUCAUAGUCAGAGGUGAAAUUCUUGGAUUUAUGAAAGAUGAACUUCUGCGAAAGCAUUUGCCAAGGAUGUUUUCAUUG
RNAcentral lists this ribosomal RNA (384 nucleotides) under Leegaardiella sp. Its description in RNAcentral is "partial small subunit ribosomal RNA". It matches the Rfam family "Eukaryotic small subunit ribosomal RNA", at positions 582 to 975 of the family's 1831-position model. The record is from RNAcentral. Lineage: Eukaryota; Ciliophora; Spirotrichea; Choreotrichida; Leegaardiellidae.